This 179-nucleotide unclassified non-coding RNA is filed under the name uncultured Amphinema. RNAcentral describes it as "sequence contains ITS2". The record is from RNAcentral. Lineage: Eukaryota; Fungi; Basidiomycota; Agaricomycetes; Atheliales; Atheliaceae.
AAUCCUCAACCCCACCGAUUUGCUUCGGGGGGAUUGGACUUGGAGCGUGCUGGCGAAGGUCGGCUCCUCUUUAAAUGCAUCAGUGGAGAAAGAAAGCUCGUCCCAGUGUGAUAAUCCUGUUGCGCUGUGGUGGGGUGAAAAUUCCGCUUCCAACCCGUCCUCCGGGACAAGACAUCUCA